This is a long non-coding RNA of Pezoporus flaviventris, 754 nucleotides long. RefSeq lists it as uncharacterized. The transcript has 4 exons. The record is from RefSeq and is a predicted model, not a curated record. NCBI's taxonomy places the organism in Eukaryota, Metazoa, Chordata, Aves, Psittaciformes, Psittacidae.
UAUAACUGAGGAAGAUAGAACAGCUUCAUAAAGCAUAUCACUCUGCUUUGCUUAGAUUGAAUGGGAAGGGCUGGCUAAGAGGAGAGGCUUUGGGAAAAUGCCUACAGCUAGAAAGCUAUCCUAAUGUGAAGCAACUGAAAAUAAACCCACCCCAAAACACAACCCUGCAUUGAAGGAAACUGGUAACCCUAAGUGAAACAUCUUUCUUUAAGACCAAGCUAUGCCAAGGGGAGAUGGUUGUCUAUCCCAUUUCUGCAAAGGGAUAUGUAUCUUUUAACGUUAAAGAAAGAAACCAGAAGAGCCUUUCAGAAGUAAACCAAAGAGCUCUUUUUCAGAAGGUUAGAAUCCACCUGGAGUAGUCACAGAAAUAAAUUGUUCAAACAAUAUGAACAUGUAACAAGAAGGGACUGCUUCUUAACAAGAAUAUGUAAUAGUACCCAGAGAAUAUGUAGUAACACCCAGAGCAAAGGUAAAUUAAAGCUAACCAGAACUGCUGUGUGGUUUUAUAACACAAAUAAUAAUAUUACCAUGAAGACAAGUAAUUAUGCCUCUAGCCACGCACAAUCUGAAUUCUUGCCAGCUUUGUUUCAUCUGUACCUUUAUAAACAAGUGCCUGUUCAAAUCCUCUUCUGCAAGCUUUUAAGGCCCUCCAUGAACCAGACGUAAGCUGUUCCUCAGCUCUUCUCAACACUGAACUCACCAUUCUCACUCUAGUGAUGUCUGUUGCUCUAGAGCAGAUAGUCUUUCCGGCAUG